RNAcentral lists this ribosomal RNA (433 nucleotides) under uncultured bacterium. Its description in RNAcentral is "partial 16S ribosomal RNA". It matches the Rfam family "Bacterial small subunit ribosomal RNA", at positions 29 to 507 of the family's 1533-position model. The record is from RNAcentral.
AACGAACGCUGGCGGCAUGCCUAACACAUGCAAGUCGAACGAGACCUUCGGGUCUAGUGGCGCACGGGUGCGUAACGCGUGGGAAUCUGCCCUUGGGUUCGGAAUAACAGUUGGAAACGACUGCUAAUACCGGAUGAUGACGUAAGUCCAAAGAUUUAUCGCCCAGGGAUGAGCCCGCGUAGGAUUAGCUAGUUGGUGGGGUAAAGGCCUACCAAGACGACGAUCCUUAGCUGGUCUGAGAGGAUGAUCAGCCACACUGGGACUGAGACACGGCCCAGACUCCUACGGGAGGCAGCAGUGGGGAAUAUUGGACAAUGGGCGAAAGCCUGAUCCAGCAAUGCCGCGUGAGUGAUGAAGGCCUUAGGGUUGUAAAGCUCUUUUACCCGGGAUGAUAAUGACAGUACCGGGAGAAUAAGCCCCGGCUAACUCCGUG